GGAAUAUUGCACAAUGGGCGAAAGCCUGAUGCAGCAACGCCGCGUGAGGGAUGACGGCCUUCGGGUUGUAAACCUCUUUUAGUAGGGAAGAAGCGAAAGUGACGGUACCUGCAGAAAAAGCACCGGCUAACUACGUGCCAGCAGCCGCGGUAAUACGUAGGGUGCAAGCGUUGUCCGGAAUUAUUGGGCGUAAAGAGCUCGUAGGCGGUUUGUCGCGUCUGCUGUGAAAUCCCGAGGCUCAACCUCGGGCUUGCAGUGGGUACGGGCAGACUAGAGUGCGGUAGGGGAGAUUGGAAUUCCUGGUGUAGCGGUGGAAUGCGCAGAUAUCAGGAGGAACACCGAUGGCGAAGGCAGAUCUCUGGGCCGUAACUGACGCUGAGGAGCGAAAGCAUGGGGAGCGAACAGGAUUAGAUACCCUUG
This 420-nucleotide ribosomal RNA is filed under the name uncultured Curtobacterium sp. RNAcentral's name for it is "bacterial SSU rRNA". It matches the Rfam family "Bacterial small subunit ribosomal RNA", at positions 358 to 790 of the family's 1533-position model. The record is from RNAcentral. Lineage: Bacteria; Bacillati; Actinomycetota; Actinomycetes; Micrococcales; Microbacteriaceae.